GGGAACUCCUCCAUUCAUCUAUUGAUGGAACUUUAGCUUGCAUCCAUGUCUUGGCUAUUAUAAAUAAUGCUGCAGUGAACAUAGGGGCACAUAUAUCUUUUCUAAUUAGAGUUUUUUGCUUUCCUUGGAUAAAUAUCCAGGAAUAGAAUUGCUGGAUCACUUGGUAUUUCUAUUUUUCAUUUUUGGAGGAAAUUCCAUAACGUAUAUAUAUAUAUAUAAGACAUGGUGACACGGCUUCCUCUCAGAUGCGCAUCACUCAAAGCCCUGUUUGCCUGCAUCCUGGCAUGCUGCUGAUCUGGACUACCAGUGUCUCUGAAGGCCACCAGAGGAGCAGACCACAUAGCUCUGCUGUCUGGAAAAAGUAGGAAAUGCCUUGGUAGUGGCGGUGCACGGGAUCAGAUGCUGGCCAUCUGGAGGGUGCAGAGUGUACAAAGCUCUGCAGGUCCCAGGCUGUCCCCACAGAAGCGUAUGGGUCUGGGUGAAUACAUGAGUGUGCGCACUUCCAUGCUAAAGAGGGCUGUUAUGCUCCAAUCUGGCCAAAGCACUGGAACUGACUCCUCUUCCCAUACCAGGACAUGCCAAGUGGCUUCCUGUUUGAAGGGCUCUCCGAUGAGGAGGAUGACUUUCACCCAAGUGCCAGGUCCACGCCCUCGAGCAGCACGUCCAGCUCCCGCCCAGCUUCCCUGGGGUACAGUGGAGCCGCCGGACCCCGGCCCAUCACUCAGAGCGAGCUGGCCACGGCCCUGGCCCUGGCCAGCACUCCGGAGAGCAGCUCUCACACGCCAACUCCUGGCACCCAGGGCCAUUCCUCUGGGACCUCCCCAAUGUCCUCAGGCGUCCAGUCAGGGACGCCCAUCACCAACGAUCUGUUCAGCCAAGCCCUACAGCAUGCGCUGCAGGCCUCCGGGCAGCCCAGCCUUCAGGUCAGUCUUCCCACUCCUGGUGUCCACGCGGCUCUUUGUCACCUUGGACACUGAGCUUUUUGUGCUCUGUGGAGGCCCUUCCCACUUGGCCUGCUUUGCUCCAGGACAGCUGGGCCGUGACAGUGUGACAGGAGAGGAUGCCCGCAGCAAGGGCGGUUGUCCCUGUGGCUUCCACUCCUGCACCCAGUGA
RNAcentral lists this long non-coding RNA (1113 nucleotides) under Sus scrofa (pig). RNAcentral describes it as "lncRNA (ENSSSCG00030016985.1)". Lineage: Eukaryota; Metazoa; Chordata; Mammalia; Artiodactyla; Suidae. The record is from RNAcentral.